UACGUAGGGGGCAAGCGUUGUCCGGAUUCAUUGGGCGUAAAGAGCGUGUAGGCGGCCAGGUAGGUCGGUUGUGAAAACUGGAGGCUCAACCUUCAGAGGUCGACCGAAACCAUCUGGCUAGAGUCCGGGAGAGGAGAGUGGAAUUCCUGGUGUAGCGGUGAAAUGCGCAGAUAUCUGGAGGAAUACCGGUGGCGAAGGCGGCAUCCUGGACCGAGAUUGACACUGAGGAGCGAAAGCCAGGGGAGCAAACGGG
RNAcentral lists this ribosomal RNA (253 nucleotides) under uncultured bacterium. Its description in RNAcentral is "partial 16S ribosomal RNA". It matches the Rfam family "Bacterial small subunit ribosomal RNA", at positions 524 to 776 of the family's 1533-position model. The record is from RNAcentral.